GACAGCAAUCAUACCACCUCAUCCUUUUUAUAUAUAUGGCUUUAAUUUUGCUAUAAAGGCAAUAUUUUCCGCAUAUGGAAAGUGAUUUCCCGAAUUUCAACGCAAUACCAUUGUUCAAACAGGCAUGCAACUUGAAAAACAGAUUUUGAAAAUGUUUUGUGUGUUGUUUAAAUUACAAAAUUUCUCAUCAUUGCUAAAGAAAAAUUACUUUGUCCAUCAAGCCGGUCUUUUUCGAAGCCAUCUC
Molecule: long non-coding RNA, 244 nt
Filed under: Mytilus galloprovincialis (Mediterranean mussel)
Lineage: Eukaryota; Metazoa; Mollusca; Bivalvia; Mytilida; Mytilidae
Source: RNAcentral